GAUCUUCAGGAAGAGAUACUGCGUCCGCUGACCUGAGAAACAGCAGGGAAAAGGAAUGCUCACAAGAGAUGGUGGCAGAGAAGUUGCAAAGCGGGGUGCGAGAGCGCCUGCCCCGAUGCCAUGUGCGCGGCGCGACAGCGGCCCUGCCCCGUCCUUCCGCAGGGCUGCAAUUAGCACGGGAAGGAGAGACCAACCCUCGUUUGCAAAUGUUAACGCCAAAGGUCUCGUUUAAG
This 233-nucleotide long non-coding RNA is filed under the name Apteryx owenii (little spotted kiwi). RNAcentral's name for it is "lncRNA (ENSAOWG00000000729.1)". The record is from RNAcentral. Lineage: Eukaryota; Metazoa; Chordata; Aves; Apterygiformes; Apterygidae.